This 1181-nucleotide long non-coding RNA is filed under the name Canis lupus familiaris (dog). Its description in RNAcentral is "lncRNA (ENSCAFG00000053563.1)". Lineage: Eukaryota; Metazoa; Chordata; Mammalia; Carnivora; Canidae. The record is from RNAcentral.
UCUGACUCUUGAUUAGGGAAGACCCUCAAGGAAUGUUGUAGAAUGUGUUAGAAAAAGAGGUAGCUUCUCUUUCCCUCGUCUCCCCUCAGAAGUGAGCCACAGGGAUUCAUUCAGAGUGGGACUAUCUGGAGUCACAUUCCAGUGAUGCAUGUGACAGGUGUACAGUACUCUUCACUAGAGAUGCAGUCUGUGCAAGAGGAGGAAUGGGGAUUUAUCUCGGAAUUAUCAGAGUGAGUGCGGGCCAUGUCUGCAAGCAUAUAAAAACAAACCCGACUGGAAGCCAGUGGUCAAACUAGUAUUGACUAACAAGACACUUUGCUACCUCAAAGUAUUCAGUGUUGGUGGCAUGAAUGAUUGAAUGGCCUUGUAAUACUUAAGAAUGACAGCAGUUAUUUGCUCAUUGAGUUGAAAAUGUAUUCAGUGUAUUAAGAGAGGUUUUAUAUGAAUAAGGUUUUAAGUUCUUCCUUUUGAAAUGUAAUUUGUGAUUUAGGUAAAGUCUACAAAACUACAGGAAGAAAUUUAGUAGCUUCUGAAUCUGAGUCUGUAGUUUUUAAAGCACGUCAUUUUCAGGAAUUAGGGUUUCCUUGAAACCUAAGAAGGCAGGGUAAAUAAAUCUACAAACCUAGAGGUAUAACUGAAUAAUAUGGGCAUUUUUUCCCCACAAGAACUCUUCUUCUUUUUUUUUUUUUUUUUUAAUUUUAUAAUAGCACAUAGGUUGAAAACAAUAUUUGACUCUAAAAGAAGUACUCUUCUGUGAUUGCGAUUUUAGGAUUUGUUACUACCCUGGAUCAUGAGUCCCUCAAGGAUGAGGACAUGUCUUAUUGUCAUCAUGUCUCUGUUACCCACCAUCAGUGCCUAGCACAGAGUGGAAGUUCGACACGUGUGUAUUGAAUGGGACGACAGUGAAUAUGAAUGAGAUGGCCAAAUCUGCCCUUGAGAUGAGUGUGUGCUUUGCACUACUCUUCCAUGGUCUCUGCAUGUAGGGGUGGAUUCAUCUGGAAGUUGUCCCAGGACAACUGGGACAGGUGGCCUGGACUUGAGACAUCCCGGCAACUUGGCAAAGAUUGACCUUAGGCUUAUUUCAGGAAGUUCACCACCACUGGCCAGGAAACCAAACUAAUUGUUCAAAUGAGAUCUUCCUGGGGAAGAUCAAUAUUUAUUAGCAGUUGUUUUAAAAAAGC